Molecule: ribosomal RNA, 297 nt
Filed under: uncultured bacterium
Lineage: Bacteria
Description: partial 16S ribosomal RNA
Rfam family: Bacterial small subunit ribosomal RNA
Source: RNAcentral
AUUGAACGCUGGCGGCAUGCCUUACACAUGCAAGUCGAACGGCAGCACGGGGCAACCUGGUGGCGAGUGGCGAACGGGUGAGUAAUGCAUCGGAACGUGCCAUUGAGUGGGGGAUAACGUAGCGAAAGUUGCGCUAAUACCGCAUAUUCUGUGAGCAGGAAAGCAGGGGACCGCAAGGCCUUGCGCUCUUUGAGCGGCCGAUGUCAGAUUAGCUAGUUGGUGAGGUAACGGCUUACCAAGGCGACGAUCUGUAGCGGGUCUGAGAGGAUGAUCCGCCACACUGGGACUGAGACACGG